Molecule: long non-coding RNA, 3853 nt
Organism: Podarcis raffonei (Aeolian wall lizard)
Lineage: Eukaryota; Metazoa; Chordata; Lepidosauria; Squamata; Lacertidae
Exons: 3
Source: RefSeq, a predicted model, not a curated record
CCAUCUUGUCCGAGAGGUGGGGCUGGACUAAACCAAAUCCCAGGCAGGCGGGGAGGGAAAGCUAUUUGCAAGGACGUAGCUGAAGGGCGUGCCAACCGUGAGGCUUUGCCCGGCGGGUGAUUUGCGAAGGCAGGAGCCGUUUGGUGACCAGGAAGAGGACGAAGGGCGCUUGUAAGGCUGCAGGCGUCGACACGCGUCGACUGAUUCACACGUUCCAAAUUUGAGAAGAGCUUUGGUGCGAUCAAACCGAAGAGCCCCCUCAUCCAGCGUCUGUGGCCAGCCUAUUAGAGACCCGAAAGCAGGCCAUCAGGUUUUAGGGAUUUGGUUAAAGAGCAAGAUGCUGAACCAGAUGCGCCUUGCAUCGAGCAGAGCUUUUCUUUUGUUCUUAAAAGUGCCUUAAGCAGCACCGCCUUAGCCAGAGACUGUAUAAACCCCAAGAAUUCUGGGAAUUGUAGUUUGAUAGUCACACAAAAUAACAACCCAAUGAUAGAUUGGAAGAUAAGAGAGCCAGUUGGCCCUGGAACAUCUGGCAGAUUUGACUGAAUAAUUGGACCGAGAAGAAGGCCACGCAGUGCCAACAGCAACAGAAUGCCCUGGGGCCAGAAAGAGAGCGAAUGUCAUUGAAUGUGGGGGAGAAAAGAGAGAGAAGUCUCCUCAGAGAAACUGCUCAUUUCUCUCUGCUGAUUUUGAGUCACAAGUACAAAACAGAAAAUGCAUACAGGGUUCUGACAAACCACUUGAUGUGUACUGCUGGAUGUGAGACCUUUACCAGGCACAGAUAUUGUUGUUCUGAAGGCUUACUUAGAAAAUAAAAUGUAAUUUACUGUACUGUAGGCCAUGCAAGUGAAGUGCAUGUCCAAAUCCCUUUUUCUUUCUUUCUUUUGAGCUUGCAGCUAAGUACGUGAAAAGGUUAAACACCUAAUUAAAUGUGGAAAACUAGUUUGACCACUGAUCUGUAGGAAAAGUGAUUUAAGCUGCAAUCUUCAAACCACUUUAUUUUAAAUAGUCCCAAAGAGGUCACUGGAGUUAAGUAGUUUGAUGACCACAGUCUUAGCAACAUAAGUGAAAGUAUUAAUGGAGCAACUGUCAGAACGACAAAAACCACCCACACUCAGAUUUACCAUGCUUGUAUGAUGUGGUUGGUAGCAGGGUAACCAAAUGCCAGAGAGGAUGGGGCCCCUUAAACUUUUAAUGGUUGUGUGGUAGGGAGAAUUUUGACAAGUGCAGCUUGUCAUGCAGGGAUGAGAAAAGCACCACCUCUUGAAAUUAAAACUUGAGGGUGGCCAAAUGCAAAACAUCUCUAUCUGAUUAGCAGCAGCACAUCUGCUGAUCACUGGGAGCACUUCCAGGCAACCUAUUUAUUGAUAAUUCACUUUCCACAAGUUUGCAGGGAGGUUAGAUGAUGCCAGCUAUUUAUUGUGGUGAGGUUAUACGGCAUCACAUAAACCCAGUGUUAUUUCACACUUUCCAGUGCAUUUCCAUCACUUUCCUUAUGGCUAAAAGUCCAGGUUUGUUGCUCAAGAGCAGAGAUGGGUGAACUCGUCAAUUUCAAUUUCUCUUAAAUCCAGCUCUCCACAUUUCCACAUCAUUUUGUGACUUUUUUUUACUCCACAUGAAAAUACAUCAGCAUUUGAUGGAAAUCUCUCCCAAUACACAUGUUUUUGCAAGCUAUUUUCUCUGAUGUGUUCUGUAUGAUACAUUUUAAUGCACAUUUUACCUAGUAUAUGCAUUUUUGUACACAUUACUUGGUUGGAGAACUGCACUGCAGAAUUCAGAGAUGUGCAGCUUUCAAAGGAUUACUGUGCUACAGAUUGCAUAUUGUUUUAGCAAGUGUGAAUUAGGUAGGCUCACCGUUAAAUGCGAUCUGAAUCAAAUCUCUUCCCCAACCGUACCCAAGAGUUCCAAAUCAGCUUGAAAUUGUGCAACCUGAAUUUGCUGGUAUGUGAUUGAAUCCUGCCUGAAAAUAGAGACAGUCUGGAAGUUCCCUGGGACUCUUGAGUUUGGUUCUGGGUCAGGAAUGUAGUCAUUUGUAGUUGGGAAUGGUACUGGAGUGGGGAUUCCAAUGGAAUUGUGUAAAAAGGCUGAAGGAGAUGGGGCACUGGCGACCAUCUAAUAUUGUUGCGGUAUUACCUUUAUGUGGUGGUGCAGAAGGGAAGACAGUAGUAUGCUGGGUGGAGCAGUAGCUUUGAUUUGAACCACACUGGGAACUGUAUAAGAAAUAAAGCCAACUCUGUAAAAUGAAAAUGCAUUUUCAGGACUUGGAAUCUGGUUGAAAUCUUCCUGAGCUUUGGUUUCUCUUCAGUCCCUUUGCCCAUAUUAUUUGGUGGUGGAUUUUGAAAGGACACUCUGGGGUUUAACUCCCCAGUAGAUUCAGUGAAAGCUACAGGAAGAUGGUCCAUUCGAAGCUGUCACCUGAAAUUGAUGGGUUACCAACUUGGAUGCCUUUAAAAGAGGUUUAGAUAAAUUCCCUGAGUGUAAUGCCAUCAGUGGCUACUGGCCAUGAAGGGUAUCAUUGGGAGCUGUUUGCAACCACAAUAUUAGAAGCUCAGCUUGAGGGUAUACCAUGGAUGAAGAAAGGUACCACCAGGACCAAGAGGAACCCUGCAUGGUUAAGAAGCAGAGUUAAAGAUGCUAUUAAAGGUGAGAAACUGUCCUAUGCAAACUGAAGUCUUGUCCAAACGUAGAAAACAAAUACCACACUGGGAAUCAUUAGGAAACAGAUUGAAAAUGAAACAAUAUCAGAAUGCCGUUACACAAGUCUAUGGUGCAACCACUCUUAGAAAACUGUGUACAGGCAACACACAAUUUUCACUGGAGUUGUGUUCUGGAUUAUCACUUGCGAUGGUGGAGUGCGCACUACACCCCAUUAUGCCUCUGCUUCCAUUCCACCCCUUUUUCUGGCCACUUCCAGGUUACCGCAAGGUGUGCAUGCACAGUCAAGUGUCAAUUGGACAUGCUUGAAUCAGUUGCUGCCUUUACAGAUCUGGUCACCUCACCAUAUAUAAACCAGAAGAAAUGUCCAUUCUUUUGUAUCCACUAAUAUAUAGUCCACACUAUACUCUAAAAAGCCUGGACAAAGACCAGAAUAGCCAGAUCAAAAAUUUUAUGUGUACAAAUUUUAGUAUGGUUUGGUAGAAAGAAGUGAGGAAAGGAGGAAGAGGAAACAAAAAGCAUAGGUGCCAGAUCUCUAAGUUUUAUGGGAUGGGAGGUGGGGUUGAACUUUUUUUAGUAAAAAUCCAUUCUAGCCUCUUACAAAUAUAAAUAUCAUAUCAGUAUUGACCUUCAGUAGUAGCCUCUCAUAUGCCUUUUUCAUGUCUUGACCUGUCUAAAUAAAUGGUGUUAUUUUAAGCAGGAGCAGUUGAGCAUUUGCUGGAUAUCCUCCUUCCUCAGCCCCCCCCUCAAUUCAUGCUGCUUCAGUUUCCCCUCCCAUACCACUUUUCUUUAUACAGUGGGAUUAACCCAUCAAGUCAAAUGGGGGGGGGUAAAGGAGGGUAAUGAUAGUGCACUCCAGUGAGCAUUGGAGAGGCCCCCAUUCAUGGGUCAACAAAACCAGGGAAGAAGCUUGGACUUAAUCAGCCAAGGAGUGCUCCAGCAUGGCAAACAAUUAACAUCAAAGACCCGGGAAAGGGUGAAAAGUGAAAGAAAAGCUUGGAAAUCCAAUUCCUUUUUAUUUUUUAAAAAUGGGAGGGAGCCUAAGAAAAAAGUAAACAGAUGGGUGAUUGGUUAGUAGAGAUUACCUUGUAGGCUUGUAAAGGGCAAAAUAUAAAGAUCAAAACUAUGGUAGGUAAGAAGGUAGGAAUUUGGAGUGAUCACCUGCCCAUUUUGAAAUACAUGCAUGAUCAGGUUGCUUUCC